This 13421-nucleotide long non-coding RNA is filed under the name Nicotiana benthamiana. RNAcentral's name for it is "long non-coding RNA (NBEN_LNC034240)". The record is from RNAcentral. Lineage: Eukaryota; Viridiplantae; Streptophyta; Magnoliopsida; Solanales; Solanaceae.
CUAGGGACCCAUCCAAUGCCCGUAAAUAACCCACAAAAACGUCUACGGAGUCUCUAUGGAUACAAAAGAAAGUAAUGAUAAUGCCUGACACAAGGCCCCAGCCAUACCUCAAAAGUGGUAAUUUAUAACAAAAGAUGUACAACAUAACCCCUUGAAGAACAGGUGCUCACCAUGAUUUUUUGAGAGGAGGAUACCCUGCUACCUGCGAUUGGUACUAUCCGCUAUAGAACCACCUAUAUUCAUUUCAAAAAAUGUAGUGCUCCUAGCAAAAAGGAUGUUAGUACCAUGAAAUAGUAUCAGUAUGAAUAAACAAACACCAUCUUAUUAGAAAGAACUAUCAUACAAGAACAAGAAAAUCACAAGAGACAAUCAAAGCAUUAACCGAACACCAUAUCAUCAAAUAAAACAAUCAUAUAACAUUCAAGUAGUUUCCAUAGAUUUAGCUUGGGACAUUUCAUACUGGUCAUCAUCAUCAUUUACAAUACCACCACUUUCUUGAGCAGAUUCUGAUAAUGACUAAAUCUGGUAGGUUGCCUCAUUUGAGACAUUUACCUUAAUCACAAUCUCAUUCGCACUUUCGAAAUUUAAUAUCAGCACAUUACCACCAUGUAUGUGGCGUGGCAUCAGAUCACGGCCUGAUCGGUUGGGCCUCUUUACCAAGACGUUGUUCCUUCUCAUUAAUCAUCUCAUUUCAAUCUUUAUUCAACAUAUAUCAAUUCAAAGGCACUUGGGGCCACAAUUAUCACAUCAUUUCCACUCUCAAUGUUAACCUUACAAUUUAGGAUCACACGAACAUACAAAAGCAAUUCAAGUUAUAAGUAUAGGUAAGACUUCACAUAGUUGGCAUGACAAUCUCAGUUUUAAUCUUGAUGUGAACUAUAGAAAUUUCAACACAUGGUUCAUAUUCUGUGCACAUCAUUAAAUAUCUAGUAUAGUACACUGCACAUAUUGAGGCACACCUUUCAUAUGUGUAUGUGUGUGUGUGUGUGUGUGUAUAUAUAUAUAUAUAUAUAUAUAUAUAUAUAUAUAUAUNNNNNNNNNNNNNNNNNNNNNNNNNNNNNNNNNNNNNNNNNNNNNNNNNNNNNNNNNNNNNNNNNNNNNNNNNNNNNNNNNNNNNNNNNNNNNNNNNNNNNNNNNNNNNNNNNNNNNNNNNNNNNNNNNNNNNNNNNNNNNNNNNNNNNNNNNNNNNNNNNNNNNNNNNNNNNNNNNNNNNNNNNNNNNNNNNNNNNNNNNNNNNNNNNNNNNNNNNNNNNNNNNNNNNNNNNNNNNNNNNNNNNNNNNNNNNNNNNNNNNNNNNNNNNNNNNNNNNNNNNNNNNNNNNNNNNNNNNNNNNNNNNNNNNNNNNNNNNNNNNNNNNNNNNNNNNNNNNNNNNNNNNNNNNNNNNNNNNNNNNNNNNNNNNNNNNNNNNNAUUGUUUUUGAAUUUUAUAUAUAUAUAUAUAUAAAAUUCAAAACCAAUUCAUGCGAAAUAAUAAUCAAUACAUCAAUCAAAUUCUAGUCUUACCAUAUUUGCAUAGAAAUCAACAGCCUUAAUUUUUAAGAAGAGGGGUCUUUAGCCAUACAUACCUCGAUAAAGCUUUCCUUAAAUUCUUAUAAAAUUCCGGAACACUUAGCGACAUUAAUCUGUUUUAUGAGAAUUACAAAUUAAACCAUGAAUUAUAGACAUGAUUAAUAUUGUAGCUCAUUUGAGUAUAUUAUCAAGCACUAAGUGUGCAUUGUGAUUUUAGGACCCUUUUUGAGAGAUUUUUAUCAUCUUACCCCCAAUUGCUAUCUUUUUAGCUCACAAUCUCCCUAUACCCCAUUAUCACUAACUCAUGCAAGAUAACCAACCCUUAUACUCAUGAACCCAUUUGUUAAUCACUUAUUUUAAUAGAAAUUUUUAAAUCACAGAUUAGGACUCAAGUUAUUACCUCUUAGGUUGAAGGCCUAGAAAAUUUUAGUUGAAAGUCUUCAAAGAUUUUGGCAAGGAUUGUAGUGACUUUUUGAGAGAUAGUUCCUCCCUCUAGAACUCCCUAUCUCGCUCUAUUUGCUGCAAAAUAGCAUAAAAAGGGUCUAAUGGGGUGUUUUAAUGGGAUGGGGUCGGUUUUAAAAGUUAGAAAAUAGGAGCCCGACACAACCUGUGAUCACAAAAUGGACAUACAGCCCAAAAAAGGGACCGCAAAAUGGCCCCCAAAAAAUGAAAAUACUGCCUGGGUAUGCGACUAUAAUGAGGUCCGCAUACCUAUUAUACGGUCGCAUAAUGCAUCGCAGAAAUGCCCUUCGAAAAAUUUCAAAGAGAUUAUGUGAUAACUAUGCGGACCACAUAUUGAAUAUGCGAUCACAUAAUGGGUCGCAUAGUUGAUAUAAAAUUGACCAUCACACUGCCUCACUUUGCAGUCCGCACAACUAUUAUGCGGCUACAUAAUGGACCGCGGAAACAUGCUUUUCUAAAAACCUAAUUCCUUUUCUUUUAUUACACAGAUCAAUCCAAAAAGGUCUGAACAAAAUUUUAGCACAUAUCCCCAACUUGGCAUUACGAGAUUUCGGGGUUUUGAGUAAAAAAUUAAUGGGUCCUUACAUCCUCCUCCACGUAAGAUCAUUCAUCCUCGAAUGAGGUUCAAGAUUCACUUAUUAGGAAUCCUUAUGCAACUUCGGCUUUUCACAUCAUGAAACAUAUCAACAGCCUUAAAUUUAGGUUAAUUGCCUAAAUUUCCAAAAAGAAUUUCAGAGUUUCCUUUGUAACUAAGUAUAUCCACCUAUCAGAGAGACUCAAAAACAUAUCCUAACAGCAUAUACACAAUCCAUAGACAUGACAUUACUUGUAACGACACCAACCAUGGCCGCAUAGGCAACACACAACCAAAAUAGAAUAGCUUUGCAUAGACCAAACCAAAGGAUACAAAUUUCAUAGCAACCAAAUUCAUAAAAGCUAUUACAUGGCUAUACAAAUAAAUGUAGGUACUUCCUUUUCAUUAAUUCCUCUGCUUCCCAAGUUGCUUCUUCAACCUGUUGGUUACACUAUUACAAUUUUAUGGUGGUAAUUUCCUUAUUUCUCAAUUUAUGGACUUGCCUGUCAAGAAUGGCAACUGGAACUUCUUCAUAUGACAGUUCUUCAUUAACCUCAAUAGUCUCAACCGGCACAAUAGUGGACGGAUCUCCCACUACCUUUUUCAAUAUAGACACAUGGAAGACUGGGUAUACCAAUGGCAUCUCGGGUGGCAGCUUGAGCUUGUAUGCCACCUGACCAAUCCUCUGAAUUAUUCUGUACGGUCCGACAUACCUCUAACUCAAUUUUCUUUUCUUUUGAAAAGACAUGAUACCCUUCAAGGGGGAACCUUCAGAAAUACCCAAUCAUCUUCUUUGAACUCUAAAUCUCUGCCACAAAUGUCCAAAUAAGACUUUUGGCGAUUCUGAGCUGUUUUCAACCAUACCUUGAUAAUCUUGACUUUUCCAUAGCCUGAUGCACAAGGUUAGGCCCUAUCAAUUCAGCUUCUCCAACUUUGAGACACCCGAUAGGGGAUCUACAUUUCCUAGCAUACAAUGCUUCAAUUGGUGCCAUCUGGGUACUAGCAUGGAAGCUGUUGUUAUAAGCAAACUCUAUUAGUUGAAAAUGAUCAUCCAAACUACCUUUGAAAUCAAGAACAAAAGCACGCAACAUGUCCUCAAACGUCUGAAUAGUCCACUCUGCUUUCCCGUUAGUUUGAGGAUGAAAAGUUAUACUAAGAUUUACCUGCGUACCAAAACCUUACUGAAAUUUCUUCCAAAAGUUAGUCGUGAACUGAGCCCCUCGAUGUAAAAUUAUUGAAACUAGAGUGCCAUGCGAUCUGACUAUUUCUCAUACAUACAACAUAGCAUACAUUUUUGAUGUGUCAGUAGAUUUGACUGGCAAGGAGUGCACUUAUUUUGUGAGUCGAUCCACGAUCACUCAAAUUAAGUCAAACUUGCACAGAGUGCGCGGUAAUCCCAUCGUAAAAUCCAUGUUGAUCAUUUCACAUUUCCACAUUGUAAUUUCUAUGUUUUGAGCCAAUCCAUCGGGUCUUUAAUGUUCGACUUUAACUUAAUGACAUUUCGGACAUCUAGCCACAAAGUCCGCCAGAUCACUUUUCAUUUUUUCCACCAAUAAACUUCCUUGAGAUCAUAAUACAUUUUUGUAGAACUUGGGUGCACAGAAUACCUGGAAGUAUGAGCUUCUGCCAUGAUCCUCUCCCAAAGACCGUCAAUAUUUUGAAAACAUAGGCGGCCUUGGUACCGUAGGGUACCAUCGUCCAUGCCAAAGGACAAAGUUGCGAUCUUGUGUUUAUGAAUACUCUCAUUCACUUGUUCCAACAAUGGAUCAUUGAAUUGUUUCUCUUUCAUCUCCACCACAAGCGAUGAUUCAACCUUAUUCUACACAAUUACUCCUCCUUCAUUAGAGUCCGCAAGAUGAACUCCCAUACUAGCCAACUGGUAAACCUCCUGGGCCAACGGCCUUUGAUAUGCCUUCAAAUGAGCCAAACUUCCCAUAGCUUUGUAGCUAAUAGCAUCUUCCACAAUGUUCGCCUUUCCCGGGUGGUGGAGAAUAUCGAUAUUAUAGUCCUUGAGUAACUCUAGCCGUCUUCUCUGUUCAAAUUCAACUCCGUUUGUUUGAAAAUAUAUUGGAGGCUCUUGUGGUCCAUAAAUACAUCCACAUGGACCCCAUACAAAUAAUGUCGCCAAAUCUUUAGUGCAAACACCAUUACCGCAAGCUCUAAGUAAUGGGUUGUAUAUGUCUUUUCAUGGUUCUUGAGUUGCCUAAAAAUGUAGGCAAUUACCUUGUCGUGCUGCAUUAACGCACACUUGAGUCCAAUCCAUGAAGCAUCGCAAUGCAUCACAAUUCCAUAUGUACCCUCCGUCAGGUUUAAUAUCGGUGUUGUUUUCAAUCUUGAUUUCAAUUCUUGGAAGCUCCUCCCACAAGCAUCGGACCACUGGAACUUAACUUCUUUCUGCGUCAAUUUAGUCAAUGGAGAGGCAAGAGUAGAAAAUACAUCGACAAAACUUUUGUAGUACCUGGCCAAACCCAAGAAACUACGAAUCUGUAUUGGGGUUGUAGGUUUAGGCCAAUUCUUCACAGCUGAAAUCUUUUAUGGAUUCACCAUAAUUCCUUCCUUGGAGAUGACAUGACCCAAGAAAGUGACGGAUCCAAGCCAAAAUACACAUUUUGAAAAUUUUGCAUACAACGGGUGCUAUAGAAGAGUCUAAAGAACUGCCCUGAUAUGGUCAGCAUAAUCCUUUCGACUUUGGGAAUACAUAAGGAUAUCGUCAACGAACAAUAUGAGAAAAGAGUCCAAAAAAGGCUUGAAGACUUGAUUCAUAAGAUCCAUGAAAGGUGCCGGGGAAUUUGUUAGCCUAAAGGACAUCACCAAAAAUUCAAAGUGCCAUUACCUAGUCCUGAAAGCUAUUUUGGGAAUAUAUUGCUCCUUUAUCUUCAACUGAUCUUACCCGAAUCACAAGUAAAUUUUUGAGAAACACGUAGCACUUUGUAAUUGAUCAAACAAGUUAUCUAUCCUUGGUAGAGGGUAUUUACUUUUUAUUGUGAUUUUCUUAAAUUACCGAUAGUCAAUACACAUCUGUAGCAAGCCAUCUUUCUUCCUUGCAAACAAAACUGGUGCGCUCCAUGGUGACACACUCGGCCGGAUGAAGCCGUUCUUUAGCAAAUCUUUCAAAUGUUCAUUUUGAUCUUUUAAUUUUGUCGGCGCAAUUCUGUAAGGUGGAAUUGAUAUAGGUUGAGUGCCUGGAAUUACGUCAAUCCUAAAAUCAAUCUUCCUGACUGGUGGGAUCCCAGGGAGCUUAUCUAGAAAGACAUCUAGAAAUUCAUUCACAACAGGUACGGAAUCAAGACUAGGUGCCUCAGCAUCGGUGUCCGUAAUUCAAACAAAAUGAUAGAUAUACCCCUUUUUGAUCAUCUUUGCAGCCUUAUGGCAAGAAAUAAACCAACCUUUAGGUAGUACAUUAUCUCUUAUCCAUUCAACAACGGGCUCAUCAGGAAACUCGAGACUCAUAGGUCUAGUUCGUCAAUCAACUUUGGAAAAACAUUAAUAAAGCCUAUCCAUUCUCAUUAUUACAUCAAAAUCGACCAUCCCCAAUUUAAUAAGAUCGGCCAUGGUAUCCCUACCACGCACCAUAACAACACAAUCUCUAUAAACUUGAGCAGUCGUAGUAGACUCACCAACCGGAGUAGACACCAGAAAUGGCUCAUGAAGAUGAUACGGUUCUAUCCCAAAUCCCACAGCAACAAAAUGGUUAACAUAGGACAAGGUAGAACUGCGGUCAAUAUGUAAAUACACAUCAUAAGAUUGGACAGUCAGAGUACCUAUAACAACAUCAGGAGAAGUAUCUACAGUCUGGCGACCACUCAUAGCAUUGAACCGGUUAGGUCCUCCCGAACUCUAUGCACCCCCUAGCUGUACUAUGCCCUUCAGGUGCUGGGGGAACCUCGAGUUGGAGAGGGGGUUGAAGAUGUAGCAGUUACUAGGCUGGAUGGCUGUGCUGUGCCACUACCCGCUCAUUGGAGGGAUACACGACAAUACCUCUGAAUAUAGGUUAUGGGUAACUCCAAGUAGCAAAACUCUGAGUGUAUUUUCCGGCACCUGGGGCAAGGGGACCUCUGUUACUUGUGGGAUCUCUCUCCUGACCAACCCCACUUAUGGGAUCCCUUUUUGCCCUUACCGGGGUUGAAACAACUCCACUACUGCUGCUGGCUGGGCCCUGAUGGCGGUGCACUGAUCGAAGACUAUCCAGUAGACCGGGAAGGCCCUAAUGAUCCUCCACUGAAAGUUGAUCUUCCCCCACCUAGUGAGUCUCCAUAUUGCCUAUACACUGCGCCUUGCUGUUACCCUCUCUUUCCAUCAUGUUGUUCAGUUUACGUUCUCUGUGGCCCGAGCAAAUUCCACCAUCUUCCCAUAAUUCAUGUAAGAAUUCAAGGAAACUAUAAAUGCUUCAUUAAUAGUAAAACAAUUAAGGCCCUCAACAAACCAGUGCACCCUGGCCUAGAUUGUGGGCAACAUGUGAACAACAUACAUUGAUAGGAGGACAGACUCCAUGUGGUACUCCGCUGCACGGGCUGGAAAUGAUCAAUAAAGGCAUCGGCAAAUUCGCUCCGCCUCGCCGGGGAGCUCCCCUCUAUACUAGAAUCUUCCAACAAUUUAAACCACGAAUAGGCCACCCCUUUCAGUCGGUAGGCAGCCAACUCUACUCCUUAUUUAUCAGUUGCACGGAUAACCAUAAGGGUCUUGUGCAUCUCAAUAAUAAAAUCAUGGGGCCCUCUUCUUGAUUUGCACCCGUAAACACUUGAGGGUCUAACUGAAGAAAUAUGUUCACCCUGGAACUCGUGGAAUCCCCUUGCUGGCCAGCCAAACUGGGUGUAACAGUUGACCUCUAGGCAUGAGAGGCUACUAGCUGAGUCAACAUCUCAAUAGGUCCCCUAAGAUCCCCAUCAAAAUUACCAGAACCGGAAGUUGGGGCUGGAGGUGGAAAAAGAGUAUCAACGGGAGGGAUAGUGGUAACCUCCAUAGGUGUAGAAACUGGGGUAGUAUGCUCUGGAAUAGAAGAAUCAUGCAUGGUGAUAGUAGGGCAACUACCCUCACCCGUAGUAUCAAGUAAUGAAUCAUCAACCACUCCUGAGGUGGCAUUCGCUUCUUGGCCAAUGCUCACUUUCUUCUUAGGUAUCAUUUAAUAAAAGAUAGAACAAUGCACGAGUUAUAGGAAACAACCUCACAUCCCGCUCUAACACACUAUAUAGAACAAUAAUGAAGGGUAUUAUUCCUAAAUGUCCAAGUAGCCUCCAACUUAUAGAUGUGGUCGACUACACACCGAUAAGAAGGACCCUACUAGACACGGCUCCGAGACAUCCUAGGACACUUUAAAACCUUAGGCUCUGAUACCAUGUUUGUCACCCCCAACCUCGGGAAGCGUAGUCAGCUCUCAAUCAAGUGAACUCAACCGAGCAAGCCUUAUGAAAAACUUUCUACCCGACUCAAUAUGAUUAAGGAAACCAUGCUUUUGUUUAUUUAGACAAUAGGAAAGAUCGUAAAUUCAACAUUGUUAGUUAAUUUUAUAUCAUAACCUUAACCCAUGAUUAAAUUUCCAAGAUUCCAUACAGUUACAAUUUAGAGAAAACAAGAGUUUAGAAUUAUAACAUAGUUUAGGGACCCGUCCAAUGCCCGUACAUCACCCACACAAAUGUCUACGGAGCUUGUAAGGAUACAAAUGACAGUUAUAAUAAUACUGACAACAAGGCCCCGACCAUACCUCAAAAGAUGUACAGCAUAACCCCCAGAAGAAAAGGGGCUCACAAGAAUUUUCUGAUGGAGGAUACCCUGCUACCUUAGAUCAGCACUGUCCACAAUAAAACCACCUACCUUCAUUUAAAAAAUGUAGCACCCCCGACAAAAGGGACAUUAGUACAAUGGAAUAGCACUAGAAUAUAUAACUAAAAACCAUCAUAUUAGAAAGAACUAUCAUACAAGAGUAGGGAAAUCAUAAGAGACAAUCAAAGGUUUAACCGAACACCACAUAAUAAAAUAAAAGAAUCAUAUAACUUUCACGUAGUUUCAUUGCUUUAGUUUGGGGCAUUUCAUACUGUUCAUUAUUAUUAUUCAAAAUACUACCGCUUUCUUAAGCAGAGUUCGAUCAUAGCCUGAUCGGCUAGGUUUCCUCAUUUGAGACAUGUCCCUCAAUCACAAUCUCAUUCUCACUUUCUGAAAUUCAAUAUCAGCACAAUAUCACUAUGGCAUCUGAUCAUGGCUUGAUCGGCUAGGCCGCCAUACCAAGACAUUCCUUUCUCAUUAAUCAUCUCAUUUCAAUCUUCUUCCAUAUAUAUCAAUUCAUAGGCACUUCAGGCCAAAAUUAUCACAUAAUUUCCACUUUCUAUUUUAACCUUGCAAUUUACCAUCAUAGACACAUAAAAAAGAAAUUCAAAAUGUAAGUAUAGGUAAGAUUUCACAUAGUUGGCAUGACAAUCUCAAUUUUAAUCUUGAUGUGAAGUCUAGGACUUUCAACACAUGGUUCAUAUGCUUUGCACAUCAUUAAAUAUCUUGGAUAGUACAUAGCACAUAUUGAGGCACACCUUUCAUGUGUAUGUGUAUGUGUGUGUGUGUGUGUGUAUAUAUAUAUAUAUAUAUAUAUAUAUUUCAAAACCAAUUCAUGCGAAAUAGCAAUCAAUACAUCAAUUAAAUUUUUGUCUUACCACAUAUGCAUAUAUACCAAUGGAGCUCAAUUUCUAAGAAGAGGGGUUUUUAGCCAUACAUACCUCGAUAGGACUUUUCUUAAAUUCUUACAGAAUUCCGGCACUCUUAGCGACUUUGAUAUAUUUUAUGAGAAUUAUAAAUUGAACUAAGAAUUAGGGACAUGAUUAAGAUUAUUGCUCAUUUAAGUAUAUUACCAAGCACUAAGUGUGCAUUGUGAUUUUAGGACCCUUUUGUGAGAUAUUUUUAUCAUCUUACCCCAAAUGUUAUCUUUUUAACUCACAAUCUCCCCAUACCCUAUUAUCACUCAUGAAUAUCGGAUAAUCAACCUUUAUACCCAUGAACCCAUUUGCUAAUCACUUAUUUUAAUAGAAAUUUCGAAAUCAUAUAUUAAGGCUCAAGUUAUUACCUCUUAGGAUAAAGGCCUAGCAAAUUUUACUUGAAAGCCUUCAAUGAUUUGGGCAAGGAUUGUAGUGACUUGGUGAGAGUUAGUUCCUCCUGUCACACCUCCUUUUUCCUAUCCCUAGAAGGGUAAAAGGGAUUUUUUCCUAUUUAAGUAACUAUUGAAAUGGGAUUAUUUAUUUAACAUCAAAGUCACAACCUGGAAUAAUUUAUGGUGUCCCAAGUCACCGUUUUAAUAUCCCGAAUCGAGAAAACUGACUCUUAUUACAGUUUGCGAACACAAGAAUCCAGGUAAUAAAUUUUAUUAACCCGCAAGAAGGUGUUAGGCAUUCCUGCGCUCCGUGGUUCUAGCACGGCCUCUUUGAUCAUACUUGGGUUAAACAAAUUGUCUAAUUGCUUAUUUUAGAACCUAUGUGCAUUGAUCUUUCUCCGCUUUUUAAUUAAGAAAAUUAUCUUGAAAUCGGUCACACGCACGUGUACCCAUUUAUCCGGCACGUCAAAAACCACUUCACGCGAAUGUGUCUGUAAUUAAUAACUCUUUAUUAACGUUGAGAAAAUUUUGCUGAAGUUGCGCGAACGCAUACUCCAGCUUUGUUUUUAGAGAUCGCAACAAUCAUGUCAUGCGAAUGAGUCCACAAUCACAAUGAUAUAUUAAAUGGGCCUAGAUCAACUAUGAGUAUUUGUCCUUUUUAUAUUUAAGUCAAGAAAUUAAUACGAGGGCCAUAUGUGAUUUAAUUAUGGAUGGCACACCUCGAGCUAUACAAACUAAAAUUAACUAAUAGUCCAUGAAAACCCAUUUUUUGUUAUUAUGAAAAAAUUUAUUGAAGUUGCACGGAUGCAUACGCCGAAUUGAUUUUUAGAAUCAUGAUCAUGUUACACGAACCUAUACAUAAUCACGGUAUUAUUUUAAAUGGCCCUAAAGGAUUUCUACAAAUAUUUUAAGGUUAUGAGAUCUCUAGUCCGAUGGCUAGGUGAUUGGGCACGUGAUUGGGGAGUACUUAUUCUUUUUAAACUACUUGUUUCGAGCAUUUGGCCAAACCCAGUCCUGAAACAUGAACACUAUUAAGUGCUAAUGGGUUUUGGUCAAUUCUCACUCCCAUAUUCCAAUACAUUUCACUGUCACGAUUAUAUCAAGCAAGACAAAUGUUAAAACCAGCGAAACAUGGCAAAGAGACUAAGUAAUAGGCUAAACCAUACAUCCACAGUAUGCGAGAUUGGAAAAUCAAGGGAAAAUGGUGACAUAAACAACUAUUAUGGAAGGCAUGACCAAAGUAGUGAACUAUCCCAAGGAUUAUCUUUUGUAAAUGAAUCAAACUGAUUGAGGCAUUCAUUUUAAAUUAAAAACUUUGGUGUCAAAGUUGAUAGUAUUCAAAUAACCAGGAAAAAGGCAGACAAACACCAGCAAUUUACUGUCAGUGCAUGAUAAAGUACGCAAAAUCGUUAUGUAACGACACAAAUGACUAAACAUUAAGAAGUUGAUGACUGUAACCCCUGGUGUUCCUUCAUAAUCAAUUAAUUUCCCUUUCAUAUGCUAGUAAAUAAACCUAGCUGUGACAAUUCGCACUCGUAAAGAAUUCUCAUUUCACAAAAUACUAACUAAAAAUGAAGAUUACUGAAUUUUGCGAGUUCAUAUAAGUUGUAGAGUAUUUGGUCAUGUGUUGAAUUUCAAGCCACAAACCAUAUUCACAUGGAUAAAAUCCUAGUACGAAGGCUUCAUAUUAUUUAAACGAAAUACCAACAGCGCAGAAUUUGCACUCAAGAAAUUAUGCGAACUUGGUGCUUAAACAAUGUAGGACAACGGAAAUUUUCAGCAGCCAUAGUAAUCUAAACAAAUAAUGACUACACUUAGCUACUCUCAAAAGAUAUCCCAGCAACUCUUAUGGGACCUUUAGCAUAAACAAUGCUAAAACAAGGUUGAAGAUGUUUAGCACCAACAUCGAGUCCUAAUAGUAACAUAUAGGUCGUCAACCAAUAACUAAUUUCAAACACUUCCAUUACCUCUCUCACUUGGGAAAAUUCUAAGUAAAAGGCCAUGAAUAAUUUGAUGUGAGCUCUGACUUAAGCAGCUUAAGAGGAAGAGUCCAGGAAAUACCAAUUACGGAAGACAAUUGUUCUCAAUUUAUAAUUCAUUCAAUGACUGAAUAUCUAUAGCAGCAGCACAUAGAGGGUCCAAUGUCCAAAUAGCAUUCAUGUCUCUUAAUACCUAAUAUAUAUACUAACAUACACCUCUACAACAUUAACACAUCAUUAGGGAUUAAACAACGGAGAUAAAAAUACAGUAUCGAUACAUAUUGAAAAUCAAAUCAAAUACACAAAUCAACUAGCUCAAAAGGUACAAAUUUAUUGUUUAAACCCUUGCUAAGUUAUAACUCUUAGAUUGAAUAAGCCAUCAUGUUCAUCCAUUCUAAUACAUUAGGAGGUGAAGUAUAUAUUUGGAUUUCAAAACAAAUAGAAAUUGAUGGCUUAGCAGCAGAAUAGAAGCAGCAAUAAAGUCAGCUUAGGAAACAACAGGGAAAAUAAGAUUUGAACCAGAUUUAAAUCAGCAGAAAUAGUAAGCAGUUCCCAAUAAUCAGAAACAUUACCCAACACUUGAAUCAAACUCUCGACAUUCAGCAAAAAUCAGAUCAUUUCAAUCAGACAGAAUACAAGAAAUAUUUCAGUAAUUGAAGAACUUCAGAAAUCAAAAGAGAGGCAAUGAAACAUUGCUUUUUUUUUACUUUUAGCCGUUUCUCUUUUCUGGACUUUCUAUCUUUUUUUUCCUUGCCUUGAAAGGAAAGAAUGAGAUGUCUUUAUAGUCAAUGCAAUAGGGCAUCUUUAGAUUUUGGUUUUUUUUAUCAAUCCUAUGCCUUUCUAAUUUUUGUUUUUGCUACUUAAUCCCUCAAAUUUUGGCUUGUUUGCCUAGUAAGGCUCUUUUUCAGCUUCUAGGAAGCUUCCUAGGUAGUUAUUUGAGAGAUUCUCACGCCGCAUUUCUAUACUACUCCCGAUUGUCCCUAUUUUUACCAUUAGUAACCAAACAAAUCAAACCUAACCCAAAGCCUUCGGGCUCAAAACAGAUAUGGGCCCUUAAUUCCCUCAAAUAUAUCUUACUACAAGCCCUAAAACUAGUCACAAAUCAGCCCAGUAACAAAUCAAGAAAAGGAUGAUAAGAUCCCCAAAAUAAUUUACAACUCUGAUUUAAACCAAAUGGGAAUCCAAAAUUAACCAUGACAAAUUCCAAUAAAAUACUAAUCUAACUACAUGAAUGAACAUCUUAAAAAUCACUGACUUUAAUUAGAUUGAAACUAAUUCGAGUCUCGUGACAGAACAAGAACUCAAAAAAAAGAAACAAAACAGGACAAGAGGAAAGCAAAGGGAGAAGGAGAGCAUUGAUGCUAACCGCAAUGGAUCGAUGAAGACGAUGAACUCGGCCAAAUGUUCUUGGUCUGGUCCAGGACGAACAACUCUCGACACGAGCCAAAAUUAAUGUUAAGUGAUUACUCUAAGUAAGAACAAUCGCUUUAUGACAUUAUUAGUCAAAUCAAGUCUUGAGAGCACAAGAAUUGAAACGUUAUUUCAUUUCUGAUUUUCCAUUCCUAUGUGGAGAUUUUUGGGGAGAUGGGCUCUGGGUUGAUGUUUGAAUGAGUGUGGGGAAUGGAUGGUAAGAUUUUAAGAUUGGUUUGGAGCUGAAAAACCAGUAAAUAUGGAAGAUUAGGGCUUCAGAUGGAGAAGAUGAAAUAACGGGAGUGUUUGGAGGAGAUGAGGAAUCUUUGAACUUUUCAGACAUAUUAACGAAAUUGGGUCUUUAGUCCCUCACUGUUGGAUAGAUGGAGAUGAAUGUCCAGGAUUAAACACUUACCAAAAC